AACUCGACUACAUGAAGCUGGAAUCGCUAGUAAUCGCAGAUCAGAAUGCUGCGGUGAAUACGUUCCCGGGUCUUGUACACACCGCCCGUCACACCAUGGGAGUCGGAAAUGCCCGAAGCCGGUGACCAAACCAAUAAGGAAGGAGCCGUCGAAGGCAGGUCUGAUAACUGGGGUGAAGUCGUAACAAGGUAGC
RNAcentral lists this ribosomal RNA (193 nucleotides) under uncultured bacterium. RNAcentral describes it as "partial 16S ribosomal RNA". It matches the Rfam family "Bacterial small subunit ribosomal RNA", at positions 1309 to 1500 of the family's 1533-position model. The record is from RNAcentral.